GGCUUUUUGAAGACAUCUGAUAUGAUCGGAACUAUACAGGAAAAAUUAGCUUGGCACUGCUCAAGAAUAUCAUGCACAAAAUUGAGAAAUGGUCAGUGUGCUU
RNAcentral lists this small nuclear RNA (103 nucleotides) under Salix viminalis (osier). Lineage: Eukaryota; Viridiplantae; Streptophyta; Magnoliopsida; Malpighiales; Salicaceae. The record is from RNAcentral.